Long non-coding RNA from Crotalus tigris (Tiger rattlesnake), 186 nucleotides. RefSeq lists it as uncharacterized. The transcript has 3 exons. NCBI's taxonomy places the organism in Eukaryota, Metazoa, Chordata, Lepidosauria, Squamata, Viperidae. The record is from RefSeq and is a predicted model, not a curated record.
GGAAGAGCUCCGCCCAGUAAGCUUUUCAGCUCCUCGGAGAAUACUGGAUGUGAUGGCACAGGAGCUUAAUGAUGCUGGAUGCGCUGAGCAGUUAUCAGCAUUCUUGUGAUUUGAGUCCAUCUCUGUGGGACAGGUCCUCUCUGGAAAUGGAAUUGGCUCUAUUGAUUCAUCUAUUGGUCUCAUAGG